MicroRNA precursor from Oryctolagus cuniculus (rabbit), 72 nucleotides. The record is from Rfam. NCBI's taxonomy places the organism in Eukaryota, Metazoa, Chordata, Mammalia, Lagomorpha, Leporidae.
UUUAAAAGGUGGAUUUUCCUUCUAUGUUUACGUGAUUGCUGGUUAAUCAUAGAGGAAAAUCCAUGUUUUCAG